GAGGGUAUAGCUCAAGUGGUAGAGUGUAUGUUUAUUGUGCAUGAGGCCCUGGGUUCAAUCCCCAGUACCUCUA
Molecule: transfer RNA, 73 nt
Filed under: Camelus bactrianus (Bactrian camel)
Lineage: Eukaryota; Metazoa; Chordata; Mammalia; Artiodactyla; Camelidae
Also listed under: 1 other name
Rfam family: tRNA
About the family: Transfer RNA (tRNA) molecules are approximately 80 nucleotides in length. Their secondary structure includes four short double-helical elements and three loops (D, anti-codon, and T loops).
Source: Rfam by way of RNAcentral